CAUGGCUCAGGAUGAACGCUGGCGGCGUGCCUAACACAUGCAAGUCGAGCGAGGGUUUGCUCAGUAUUGAGUAUUCUAAGUCUAGAAUGUUCAAUUCUGAGCAAAACCAAGCGGCGGACGGGUGAGUAACGCGUGGGUAACCUGCCCUAUACACAUGGAUAACAUACUGAAAAGUUUACUAAUACAUGAUAAUAUAUAUUUGCGGCAUCGCAGAUAUAUCAAAGUGUUAGCGGUAUAGGAUGGACCCGCGUCUGAUUAGCUAGUUGGUGAGAUAACUGCCCACCAAGGCGACGAUCAGUAGCCGACCUGAGAGGGUGAUCGGCCACAUUGGAACUGAGACACGGUCCAAACUCCUACGG
RNAcentral lists this ribosomal RNA (359 nucleotides) under uncultured bacterium. RNAcentral describes it as "bacterial SSU rRNA". It matches the Rfam family "Bacterial small subunit ribosomal RNA", at positions 18 to 344 of the family's 1533-position model. The record is from RNAcentral.